UUUCCCUUCGGGGACAAAGUGACAGGUGGUGCAUGGUUGUCGUCAGCUCGUGUCGUGAGAUGUUGGGUUAAGUCCCGCAACGAGCGCAACCCUUAAUUUUAGUUGCCAGCAUUUAGUUGGGCACUCUAAAGUGACUGCCGGUGCAAGCCGGAGGAAGGUGGGGAUGACGUCAAAUCAUCAUGCCCCUUAUGACCUGGGCUACACACGUGCUACAAUGGAUGGUACAAAGGGUAGCGAAGCCGCGAGGUGGAGCCAAUCCCAUAAAACCAUUCUCAGUUCGGAUUGUAGGCUGCAACUCGCCUACAUGAAGCCGGAAUCGCUAGUAAUCGUGGAUCAGCAUGCCACGGUGAAUACGUUCCCGGGCCUUGUACACACCGCCCGUCACACCACGAGAGUUUGUAACACCCGAAGUCGGUAGGGUAACCUUUAUGGAGCCAGCCGCCGAAGGUGGGACAGAUAAUUGGGGUGAAGUCGUAACAAGGUAGCCGUAUCGGAAGGUGCGGCUGGAUCACCUCCUUUCUAAGGAA
RNAcentral lists this ribosomal RNA (527 nucleotides) under Listeria seeligeri. Its description in RNAcentral is "bacterial SSU rRNA". It matches the Rfam family "Bacterial small subunit ribosomal RNA", at positions 1013 to 1533 of the family's 1533-position model. The record is from RNAcentral. Lineage: Bacteria; Bacillati; Bacillota; Bacilli; Caryophanales; Listeriaceae.